AUUGAACGCUGGCGGAAUGCUUUACACAUGCAAGUCGAACGGCAGCACGGACUUCGGUCUGGUGGCGAGUGGCGAACGGGUGAGUAAUGUAUCGGAACGUGCCCAGUCGUGGGGGAUAACGUAGUGAAAAUUACGCUAAUACCGCAAACGAUCUAUGGAUGAAAGCGGGGGAUCGCAAGACCUCGCGCGAUUGGAGCGGCCGAUAUCAGAUUAGGUAGUUGGUGGGGUAAAGGCCCACCAAGCCAACGAUCUGUAGCUGGUCUGAGAGGACGACCAGCCACACUGGAACUGAGACACGGUCCAGACUCCUACGGGAGGUAGCAGUGGGGAAUUUUGGACAAUGGGCGAAAGCCUGAUCCAGCCAUUCCGCGUGCAGGAUGAAGGCCCUCGGGUUGUAAACUGCUUUUGUACAGAACGAAAAGGUUUCUACUAAUACUAGGAGCUCAUGACGGUACUGUAAGAAUAAGCACCGGCUAACUACGUGCCAGCCGCCGCAGUAA
Molecule: ribosomal RNA, 500 nt
Filed under: uncultured bacterium
Lineage: Bacteria
Description: partial 16S ribosomal RNA
Rfam family: Bacterial small subunit ribosomal RNA
Source: RNAcentral